GAUGAACGCUCGCUACAGGCUUAACACAUGCAAGUCGCGGGGCAGCAUGGGGGUUGCUUGCACUCCCCGAUGGCGACCGGCGCACGGGUGAGUAACGCGUAUCCAACCUGCCCUUCACCACGGGAUAACCCGGCGAAAGUCGGACUAAUACCGUAUGUUGUCCAUUGACGGCAUCCGAUUUGGACGAAAGGUUUGGCGGUGAAGGAUGGGGAUGCGUCCGAUUAGCUGGACGGCGGGGUGACGGCCCACCGUGGCGACGAUCGGUAGGGGUUCUGAGAGGAAGGUCCCCCACACUGGAACUGAGACACGGUCCAGACUCCUACGGGAGGCAGCAGUGAGGAAUAUUGGUCAAUGGGCGUAAGCCUGAACCAGCCAAGUAGCGUGCAGGAGGACGGCCCUAUGGGUUGUAAACUGCUUUUAUGCGGGGAUAAAGUGGCCCACGUGUGGGUUUUUGCAGGUACCGCAUGAAUAAGGACCGGCUAAUUCCGUG
Molecule: ribosomal RNA, 490 nt
Filed under: uncultured bacterium
Lineage: Bacteria
Description: partial 16S ribosomal RNA
Rfam family: Bacterial small subunit ribosomal RNA
Source: RNAcentral